RNAcentral lists this ribosomal RNA (493 nucleotides) under uncultured bacterium. RNAcentral's name for it is "partial 16S ribosomal RNA". It matches the Rfam family "Bacterial small subunit ribosomal RNA", at positions 27 to 507 of the family's 1533-position model. The record is from RNAcentral.
GAGUGAACGCUGGCGGUAGGCCUAACACAUGCAAGUCGAACGGCAGCACAGUAAGAGCUUGCUCUUACGGGUGGCGAGUGGCGGACGGGUGAGGAAUACAUCGGAAUCUACUUUUUCGUGGGGGAUAACGUAGGGAAACUUACGCUAAUACCGCAUACGACCUACGGGUGAAAGCAGGGGAUCUUCGGCCCUUGCGCGAUUGAAUGAGCCGAUGUCGGAUUAGCUAGUUGGCGGGGUAAAGGCCCACCAAGGCGACGAUCCGUAGCUGGUCUGAGAGGAUGAUCAGCCACACUGGAACUGAGACACGGUCCAGACUCCUACGGGAGGCAGCAGUGGGGAAUAUUGGACAAUGGGCGCAAGCCUGAUCCAGCCAUACCGCGUGGGUGAAGAAGGCCUUCGGGUUGUAAAGCCCUUUUGUUGGGAAAGAAAAGCAGCAGGUUAAUACCCCGCUGUUCUGACGGUACCCAAAGAAUAAGCACCGGCUAACUUCGUG